AUCAUCAUAUACACGUAACAUACGGUCCUAAUAGGCCAACAUAAUCAUUUAUAAACUCAAAAUAUAGGCCGACAAGGCCGUAAAAUCCUUCCCAUAUAAGACAUAUGUCUACAAGCCUCUAAGAAUACAUAAGUGUCACAAAGAUCGGAACAGAGUCCCGCCAUACCAAACAAUAGACGUCUAAAUCAUACUAACCAAAUACACAGCUCCGAAGCAAAUGGAGCGCACCAACAUCUUCCGCUGAACUGAUAGCCUACUUGGAAGUCUUUCGAUCUAUCUAUCAGGACCUGCGGGCAUGAAACGCAGUGUCCCCAGGCAAAAGGGACGUCAGUACGAAUAAUGUACCGAGUAUGUAAGACACAUAAAUAAAUACUAGGAGACAUGUAAGACACAUGGAGUACAUGACUCAACCCGUACGUCUGAAUAACUUUGUAAAUCAUAAAUUACUUUCAGCGUCAUGCAUAUGCGUAUGAAUGUCAUGUCGUGCAUAAGUAUAUGUUUCAUAACAUCAUCAGCCUCUGAGGGCAUCCCAUCAUAUCAUANNNNNNNNNNNNNNNNNNNNNNNCCUAUAUCCCAUAUAUAUAUAUAUAUAUCUACAUAUAUACGCGUAUAUAACGCCAUUUGAAUACAUACAUAUAUAUGCGUAUAUAACGCCAUUUGAAUACAUACCCAUAUAUGCGUAUAUAACGCUGUUUGAAUACAUACCCAUAUAUGCGUAUAUAACGCUGUUUGAAUCAUAUUUCAGCCACUGUGGGCAACAACAUCAUCAUAUACCAGCUGACCAGGUGGUGGUGCGUAUAUAAUGCCAUAACCUUUUCCCAUAUCCCAUAUACAUAUAUUUACAUAUAUAUGCGUAUAUAACGCCAUCUGGUCAUGAGUUAGUGCACAUGAAUGCAGUGCAUAAAAAGUACGUCAAUAAAAUUAUUCGGAACGUCAUAAGACCAUUUUGCCUCUGAGUAAUAUCAUAAAGUAAACUCUUUUCAACUUUCAUAUUUUUCUAAGACCCAUGAACAGAUGAUAAAAUAUUAUGACACAUGGGAAUUAAAGAACAUAGAUAUUUCUAUUACUUCUAUGAGUAGAUUCACUUAUGGAAUUUGUGCAUUUGCACGUUUCAUUCAUAUCGUAUUGAUCAUGCCAAAAGAAAGAAGGGAUAGCCUUAACAUACCUGGAGUAGGAACAACUCCGUAUAAUUAUCCCAUUGGAAACCUUCGUGGAUUGAAUUUAGAACCCAAAAAUCUAAUUAAGCUUCUGCUUUUAAAAUUCUUGAACGAAACUGCUUCUGCCUCUUUGAAUAUUUUUGAACAAAAUUUCUAAGCUUCUGGAUUCUUGAAGCACUAAACGAAAGAAUGCAACUCCAAUUUCAAGCUUCAAGCUUCUUGAUUUUCUUGCCUUUCUUUGAGGAAUGAGUACGUUAAUCCUUUUUCAAAAUGAAAAAUGGAGACUUUGACAUAUGAUGUAUAUUUGGAACUUAAAGAACGUUCUGACUCCUCCAAAAGAACAUGGAACCAAGACAUUUACCAAGUCUUGCCUUGUUAACAAUUAAUUGAUGUAUGGC
RNAcentral lists this long non-coding RNA (1555 nucleotides) under Nicotiana tabacum (common tobacco). RNAcentral describes it as "long non-coding RNA (NTAB_LNC004172)". The record is from RNAcentral. Lineage: Eukaryota; Viridiplantae; Streptophyta; Magnoliopsida; Solanales; Solanaceae.